RNAcentral lists this ribosomal RNA (253 nucleotides) under uncultured bacterium. RNAcentral describes it as "partial 16S ribosomal RNA". It matches the Rfam family "Bacterial small subunit ribosomal RNA", at positions 524 to 776 of the family's 1533-position model. The record is from RNAcentral.
UACGGAGGGUGCAAGCGUUGUCCGGAUUUAUUGGGUUUAAAGGGUGCGUAGGCGGCUAUUUAAGUCAGUGGUGAAAUCCAACAGCUUAACUGUUGAACUUCCAUUGAUACUGGAUGGCUUGAGUACAGACAAGGUAGGCGGAAUUUAUGGUGUAGCGGUGAAAUGCAUAGAUACCAUAAAGAACACCGAUUGCGAAGGCAGCUUACUAGGCUGUAACUGACGCUGAGGCACGAAAGCGUGGGGAUCAAACAGG